CAGUAGCCACGGGAAUACGGAGGGUGCAAGCGUUAAUCGGAAUUACUGGGCGUAAAGCGCACGCAGGCGGUCUGACAAGUCAGAUGUGAAAUCCCCGGGCUUAACCUGGGAACUGCAUUUGAAACUGUCAGGCUGGAGUCUUGUAGAGGGGGGUGGAAUUCCAGGUGUAGCGGUGAAAUGCGUAGAGAUCUGGAGGAAUACCGGUGGCGAAGGCGGCCCCCUGGACAAAGACUGACGCUCAGGUGCGAAAGCGUGGGGAGCAAACAGGAUUAGAGACCCGAGUAGUCCCUGUCUCUUAUAC
Molecule: ribosomal RNA, 301 nt
Filed under: uncultured bacterium
Lineage: Bacteria
Description: partial 16S ribosomal RNA
Rfam family: Bacterial small subunit ribosomal RNA
Source: RNAcentral